AUGCAGGGGCAGAUUGGUGGGGGGUGGGAUACCUCAACGAAGCCUCCAAGAAGUAGUUCGACGCCGCGGCAUCGUCGUCGUUGUGGCCGCCGCCGGCGGCCAAGGGUUUCCCCCGGUCCCAGGAGCCCCACCGCCAAAACACCGCCAACCGCCGGAUCCGGCGAGCAGAUCGAACGGGAGAAGGCGAGGAGGGUGGAGUUGGAGCUGGUCGAAUCAGAUCUGGAGGCGGACCGACGGAGAAAAUCCGGCCACCGCGAGCUCCAUCCACCGGGGCCUCGCCGCCCAAGCAAGCCGAGGAGCCCAGUCGAGCACCCGCAGCCGCCGUCCGCCGCAGGGAGCAGCGCUGCCCACCUUGACCGGGGCCGCUACCCCGGCACACCAUGCCCUCCGCGCGAGGCAGGAGCGGCAAGCCUCGCCGCCACCUUCCUCGGCACCGCGCGGGCUUGCCGGCGGCUGUCUCCGGUGGCGGCAAGGUCUGGAGGGAGGAGGGGAGAGGCCGGUGGCGGGCUAGGGUUGGGGGCCGCCCGAGUCGCCCCAAGGGAGCGACGCGGGGGCGGGUGA
RNAcentral lists this ribosomal RNA (561 nucleotides) under Triticum aestivum (bread wheat). RNAcentral describes it as "partial small subunit ribosomal RNA". Lineage: Eukaryota; Viridiplantae; Streptophyta; Magnoliopsida; Poales; Poaceae. The record is from RNAcentral.